This 497-nucleotide ribosomal RNA is filed under the name uncultured bacterium. RNAcentral describes it as "partial 16S ribosomal RNA". It matches the Rfam family "Bacterial small subunit ribosomal RNA", at positions 28 to 507 of the family's 1533-position model. The record is from RNAcentral.
GGUGAACGCUGGCGGCGUGCCUAAUACAUGCAAGUCGAGCGAACGGACGAGAAGCUUGCUUCUCUGAUGUUAGCGGCGGACGGGUGAGUAACACGUGGAUAACCUGCCUAUAAGACUGGGAUAACUUCGGGAAACCGGAGCUAAUACCGGAUAAUAUUUUGAACCGCAUGGUUCAAAAGUGAAAGACGGCCUUGCUGUCACUUAUAGAUGGAUCCGCGCUGCAUUAGCUAGUUGGUAAGGUAACGGCUUACCAAGGCAACGAUGCAUAGCCGACCUGAGAGGGUGAUCGGCCACACUGGAACUGAGACACGGUCCAGACUCCUACGGGAGGCAGCAGUAGGGAAUCUUCCGCAAUGGGCGAAAGCCUGACGGAGCAACGCCGCGUGAGUGAUGAAGGUCUUCGGAUCGUAAAACUCUGUUAUUAGGGAAGAACAUAUGUGUAAGUAACUGUGCACAUCUUGACGGUACCUAAUCAGAAAGCCACGGCUAACUACGUG